This 71-nucleotide transfer RNA is filed under the name Apriona germarii. RNAcentral describes it as "Apriona germari tRNA-Val". The record is from RNAcentral. Lineage: Eukaryota; Metazoa; Arthropoda; Insecta; Coleoptera; Cerambycidae.
CAAAUCAGAGCUUGAUAUUAAAGUAUUUUAGUUACAUUAAAAGGUUAAUUGUGGAAUUCAAUUUGAUUUGA